AGUGAACGCUGGCGGCGUGCCUAAUACAUGCAAGUCGAACGAUGAAGUCCUAGCUUGCUCGGAUGGAUUAGUGGCGCACGGGUGAGUAAUAUAUAGUUAAUCUGCCCUACACAGAGGAACAACAGUUGGAAACGGCUGCUAAUACCUCAUACUCCUAUUUGACAUAAGUUAAAUAGGGAAAGUCUUUUCGGUGUAGGAUGAGACUAUAUCGUAUCAGCUAGUUGGUAAGGUAAUGGCUUACCAAGGCUAUGACGCGUAACUGGUCUGAGAGGAUGAUCAGUCACAUUGGAACUGAGACACGGUCCAAACUCCUACGGGAGGCAGCAGUAAGGAAUAUUGCGCAAUGGGGGAAACCCUGACGCAGCAACGCCGCGUGGAGGAUGACACUUUUCGGAGCGUAAACUCCUUUUAUCAGGAAAGAAUAAUGACGGUACCUGAUGAAUAAGCACCGGCUGACUCCGUG
RNAcentral lists this ribosomal RNA (463 nucleotides) under uncultured bacterium. Its description in RNAcentral is "partial 16S ribosomal RNA". It matches the Rfam family "Bacterial small subunit ribosomal RNA", at positions 29 to 507 of the family's 1533-position model. The record is from RNAcentral.